Long non-coding RNA from Calidris pugnax (ruff), 1380 nucleotides. RefSeq lists it as uncharacterized. The record is from RefSeq and is a predicted model, not a curated record. NCBI's taxonomy places the organism in Eukaryota, Metazoa, Chordata, Aves, Charadriiformes, Scolopacidae. The transcript has 3 exons.
AAGAUGAUCGGGGGGGAGUGGAGCAUCUCCCUGAUGAGGAAAGGCUGAGAGACCUGGGGCUGUGCAGCCUGGAGAAGAGAAAAUGGGGGAUCUCAUCAAUGCUGAUCAAUGUCUACAGGGUGGGUGUCCAGAGGAUGGGGCCAGACUCCUUUCAGUGGUGCCCAGUGACAGGACAAGAAGGAACAGGCACAAGCUGGAACACAGGAAAUUCCAUCUCAACAUGAUGAAAAACUACUUUACUUUGAGGGUGGCAGAGCCCUGGAACAGGCUGCCCAGAGAUGGUGUGGAGUUUCCUUCUCUGGAAAUACUCAAAUCCUGCCUGGAUGAGUUCCUGUCCAGCCUGCUCUGGGUGACCCUGCUUUGGCAGGGGUAGACUAGAUGGUCUCCAGAGGUCCUUUCUGUCCUUAGCCAUUCUCUUGCAGGAACCUCAGACAAACCUUGUGUUAGGCUGAAAAGGCUUAGGAUUUUCCUCCUGAAGCACAGAGAGGCCAGAAAAGCAGGUGGAUCCAGAAGUGGCUCAGAACAGGAGAAAGGAGAACUUCCUCAACCUGAACUGGCCCAUAGUCACAUCACAGCAACACAACAGCACAGAGCCCUGCAGUAACAGAGCUGACAAGCCAGGAACACAGCUGGAAACUGAGGAGGGAAGGGGUCUGAGAAUCUGUUUCUGCAGCCACAUCCAGCCUAAGAGGCACCAGAGACUGAGUAAGGGGAAGAGAAAGUGACACCAUCGUUAAUUUAGAUCAACUGGAAACUUUAUUUUCUGGUACUAAGUCUUUGAGAAGUGCCUUCUUCCAGGCAGUUCUACCCCUUUCCCCGUAUCACCCCCAGCCAUAACCAGAUAGACCUCUUUUUGUCCCCAUCAGUUUCUGCUUUCCUCUUAAGUGUGACUAUCAGGAUUGAGCAACAGCACCCAUAGAAAGCAGCCAGGCCCUAAGGGCUAGGAAUUGGGAAGCAGAUAAAAUCUCUUCUUGACCAGCACGAGACCUUUAGAGACCUUUUUUCAUCCUCCUUCUUGAGAAGGAGAUAGCAUUUCGUUUUACAGCAACGUGUUGUCGUCUGACGUCUGCAGUAACCAACUAAGAAAGACACCAUUCAUUUGCCGAGAGAAAAUGUUAAAAAGCAUCCUUUUUCACCUGUGAAAAUUAGGACAUCAUCCCUGCCUUACACCACAAGUCAGGGGAUAUGUGAAAGGUUACAGCCCUCGGCUUCCAUCUCAGAGCUCAGCUGUCUUGUGAACAAUGCGGCCCUUUAAAAACCUUUCUAGGAAGAUUUCAGAAACUUGGUCAACAUUUCCAUCGUGCCUACAGCACCAGGAUUACAGUCAACAGUUAGCAUGCUGAGAAGUUGGUCAGGACUCCCACUAUCCCUCCUCCUCCC